Molecule: long non-coding RNA, 5638 nt
Filed under: Populus tremula
Lineage: Eukaryota; Viridiplantae; Streptophyta; Magnoliopsida; Malpighiales; Salicaceae
Description: long non-coding RNA (PTRE_LNC000481)
Source: RNAcentral
AAAUUACAUAAAUGCCCACCAUUCAUGCCGACCAGAUACGUAAAAAUCCUACUUUCCAAAUUUCCGCCCAGGAGAACAUGCAACAAAAUUAUGCCCAAUAGCAAAAUGAAAACAAUUGUCACCUUAAAGAUUAACAUUAAAAAAAUCAAGACCUGGUUUGACCAGCACAGAGAAUCCAUGCUUUAUUGUUCAAUAAGUAUGUUUCACCAAGAAAAAACAAGAGAGACAUUAGUAAUGGAGCAACCGGCCUGGCCGAAUCAAGAGCUACGGACCCCACCAUGGAUUUAAAGGCAGGCAAUGUCAUGGUGAGACCCCACCGGCAUGUUAGCUUGCCGAUUAUUCAAACAUGGCUAUGAUAUUGUGCACUGUAAAAUUGCAACUAAUUCAAACUCGAGAGAAUUCAAGCUUGCAUGUUUUUUUGUAAAAAUAAAAUAUUGUACGGGUUUCCUUCCGAUGUAACUCUAGCAUGCCAUGCUUGAUCAAUAGUUCUAGGUUUGGUUUAUGUUAACAUCAUUUCAUAUAAUACUAUGCCCUUCAUAUUUAAUUCAUAUUUUAUCCAGCUAACACCAAUCGUACGGACUGCUUAUGCAAGCAUGUUAAAGCCCUUUGAAAAAGAAAGAAAUGAUCCUCCACUAACAAGACCUUUUCUUUGUCUGCUAGGUGCUAACCCAUGAAUCCUAUCAUUCCUCUCUGUGAGGUGUGAACCCUAAUCCAUGUGGGCGAACUCCAAAAUGACCUAACCUACUGGCUAAAAGUAACCCCCAGGUUUCGUUAGCCUAAACAAAAGUUGCUGCUAGCAGUCUAGCACUCUUUUGCCACUUGAGCUUGUGGGUGAGACUCCAAGUUUGGAGAUCAGAGAACUCAUUUAAAUCAUUUACUGUAAAAGGAGAGAGAACGGCAUCAGUGAAUCACAGGCACCCGCACAGUACAAAAAUAUUGCUUUCACAUGUUGCCUUUCUGUGAUUACACAUGCAUGAACUAGCAUGUUUUCUUUCUUUAGUGUGUUAAUUGUCAAGCAUGAUCAAGUACAUUCUUUCCCGUAUCUAACUAGAAGUCUAUAUUGCUAAUGGUUAUGGACUUCCUCUUCGUUUCAAAAUUUUGGUUAAUAAAUCUAAGAGUGUCAGGAAAUGGAAAUCGAAACCCGCAAGCAUCCCUUGAAUGCCUAUGUGAGGAGAAUAGAAGGAUACAUGAGAUAAUACUUCGUAUCCCAGCUAAUGUUAGAUAUUUACAGUUAUGACCUCCCCAGUUAUGCUAGUCGAUAACGGGAACAGAAGGAUAUAUAUGCCAAGCCAUACGUUUGAAUAACAGUCAAUUUUAUGGUCUUCCCUUUUCCUUCAUGGUUUCUAAUUUCCAUGUAAUUGGAAGAGUAAAUGGCCAUUUUCACCUGGUCCUUGUCAAAGUUGGAUACAUGUCUCCUUUUUAUUUCCCGUCCCAAAUUUUACAUGAUUCGGCGUAUGAGGAGUUCCAGUCACAAAAACUACAUUUCAUAUGAUCCAUGCUUUUUUUGUUUGCUUGUCUACUCGUCAAAGAAAGAAAGGAUGAUACCACAAGUAAUAGACAAUGAAAUGAUCGGGGAGCUCUUCUAGGUCAAAAAUUGGAGCCAAAAUGUUUGUGGUUUUCUUAGAACUACAGCCAUAACCGUGGGUCUCCGAUAUAAAAGAUUGCUAUGAAUGAAAAGACCGUAUACAAAUCCCAUCUGAGCUCAUAUUCUUGCCUCCAUAUUGUGGCUCCUGAGCUGUGUAGCAUAUGAAUUGCUUGAAGUCUAAUUGGCUUUUACCAAGUCCCCACCACAGUAACUAGUUCCUUGUGAAUAGAGCUAAGCACCUUGCUAAGAGUAUGGAAUGAACUUCGAAAGUUCUAAAACUUGCUUAAUUUAUUUGGGUUCGGCAUAUUUUUAAUUCUUUUCUCCUUUUUAUCGGAACAUAUCCUUUAAUUUAGUACCACUAGGACGCGUAGCGAGGGGAAAACAACAAAAUAAUCAACUUGAUAUAUGACGAUUAUUUAUAAAACACCAGUCACAGAGAAAUAUAGUGCGAGUACAGCACAACCUCCCCCUUAAGGUAAUGUGAGAAUGUCAAAGCAUCACACUUCAAAAACAUGCCAUUAUUUAAAACUCUGGCGCCCAAAACUCUCUCUAUCAUCACUGAAACGGUUCUUCGAAAACAACCAAGUAGCAACACAUCAGCACUUCUAAAUAAUCAAAAGGGCCCUUUUUUUCUGUUUUUUAGCAUGGUGCUUAGGUGUAGGUUAUUUGUCCCUAAAAAAUGCACUCUUUCCCUUAUAUCUAUUGAAACCGAAAACAGAGCAUAUGGUCCUAGCUCCUAAAGUAUCACCAUGCUUAACCAAAUAAAGAAGUAUAGUAACCUUUGGUAGCUCUAAACGAGCAUGCUUUUCAAGCCUUUUUUCCUGGUACAAAGAUUCUUUAUUUAUGAGCUAAUAAUAGUUGUGUGCGCCACAGAGAGAGAGAGAGAGAGAGAGACAGAGCAUCAAUUUUGCCGCAGAAUCUAAUUUGUGUUUCUUUGAUUUUAUUUAAGCCUGGGCCCUUUUGGACUUGGAGAGUGAGUGAAAUUUGCAUCAGAAUCCAUCAAAAUUUGUUUGAUUUUGUAUUAAGUAAUGGAGAAUCUUUAACUUAGAAUACGUCAUGUCCCUUUGGCCUUCAGUGAAGCCAAAAGUCGGCCCCUUGAUUUUUUCCCAUGAUGCAUUUUUAAUUAAGUCUUUGUUAAGAAAGACAAGUCCAGUUCAUAGCUUACAUUACACUAGCAUGUAAACAAAUCACUCUGCCUACCCUUUUGACCAUGUUAGUGCCACCUUUCCCUUUCACUUUAUACUUUGUUGCAUUAAUUUAUAUUUUAACUUCAGAAAGAACAAUAGAGAACACGUAAUACAUGCAAACAUGUAAUGCAACUAAUGGUUAUGCUAUCACUAACAGAAGGCUAAAGUAAUUCUGCAUAGAGCCCGUGAAAAACCUUUAGAAGCAACAUGUAAAUGUCAUAGUCGAAGGGAUAGGUUUGCACACAGUGACUAGAUAUAUGAGUCUGAUCUCAACUGGCAUGCAUGAUUAGUACGGAUGUUGCUCUAUUGCUAUUACAAUUAAUAAUUAUUAUAAUCUGUAAUCUAUCAUUUUCAAACUCUAGAAGACUGAUUUGAGAGUUUCUGAAUCUGGCCUGCAAGUUGUUAUAAAUGUUUUAAUUGUUGAUUUUAAAGAAAUAUUUACAUCACUAUUGUGGAAUAAUGCUACUAUUUGAUAAAGGUGAGCAUACAAAGGGAAUAAAUCUUUCAGGAUUAGUUUAGAAAACUUACAGGCAGUCAUAUGACCAUCUUAGAAGACUUGCUGCUUAAGUGUCAAGAAAAGAUGAUGACGCCUGUUUUCAUGGACCAGCAGAAUCUAUACCAUUGGAUGUAGCUCCAGUAUGAUCCUCCCUAAACUCAAACACAUUUUCAACUUAUCUACAAAGAGGAAUUAAUGCAACUUAAAUAGAAACAGUAGAUUAAUUAUGGAGUAUGAUGCCACAGAAAAUUGGUAAAAACAUCCAUUAUGCAGAUUACAAUUAACUUUUUCUCCAUCUAACCUAGUGGAUGUUGGCGGAAAUUAUAAGCAGUCCAUUUGUUAAUAUAUUCUUACCAAGAGUAAUAAAAACAACAAAUCAUAGAAAAAAAUUUAAUCAACAAUUGCAAUCCACCAACAAGGGGCCAAACCUUAUUCCAAGCUAGCAUUGCUCAAAACACAGCACAGAAAAAAUGCUGUUUUCCAAAGCAACCAUACGAGGAACAUUAGAUACAGUCCCCCAGUUGGAAAUUUAAAAUAAUAAACUGGAAGAAUGGGAAACUAAAUAACAUGUUUUUUCGAAUCUCCAUCUCAAAUAAAACCUGUUUUUCCAACCAAAUUAUCAAACUCAACAUUAUGAAAUCGAUAUCACCAGGAUCUUGCCAGUGAUUCUGCUGGGUUCAAUAUUUAUGUUCUUAAAAGAUCACUUGCAAAUAAAACUACUAUAAUCAUCAGGACUGUUAUUGCAGUAAGCCCAUCAUCUGUAAACAAGGAGAUGCAAUAAGGUUUUAAGGAACAUCAUGCAGAAUACAAAAGGCAAAUCAUUCUUGGCACAAAUUAGUACCACAUCAUGGCCAGAGUGAUAACAUCACAAGCCAAUUAUCAAGGGUACUAAUUACAAUGUCUUAAAUUCUCAACCAUUCCUAACAGGUGCCAAUUAAAGUCACUUAACUUUCUCAAACAGGUGAAUCUCACUGGAAUAAAAAUGAGAGGUAUCAAGAGAUCGGAGGGUUACUUUCUAUUUGUAAUCCAACAAUUGGACAACAAAAAAAGAAAAGACUCAAGAAUUGUCACUAACUAUAUGUCUCCAAACAGGCUCCUCUUGAGUUUUCUUUUCAUUUUUCAUUUUUCAUUUUUUCAUUUUUUUGUUACAAAAGAGAGGUUUGAACUCAAGAACUUUAGAGGGGAAGGAGAAGACUAAUACUAGUUGAGCUACAACUCAAUAGCUUGCGAUCUUUGAAUUUAAUAGGUAACUCUCCAAAACAAGUACUGCAACGCGUUGCUGAGCAGAAGUAAAAUCUUAAUCUAUUAUUGAUCUGAUGGUCUUCCCAAAAAUGGUACAAGAACUGAAUACUCCACAUAGCUUAUCAUAGAUUCAAACCCGCUCUAUCAUCUUACAAUUCUAAAAUAUCAUGCAUGCAAGAAAGAUUGAAUUCUUUCCAAAAUGAUCCAAGAACCCCAAGCUCCAAAAUUCCCAAUCCGAGAUUUGGAUCCUCACCAAUUAUCAAGUAGAUUUCUUCUUAAAAUUCCUCUACUUCUUCUAUCCAUCCAAAGUUAUGCAAUCGAAAACCUAUCAAUCAUUAAAGUGAACCAUAAUUAUAUAUACCUGCUUGAUAUAGGUAUUCAAUGAUAUGGCAACAAAUUAACUGAAAUCCAGUAAUUUAGGUAUGAAUGAAUGAUCGGUGGGAAUCACGAGAAAUAUUGAGGCAAAAAUGCGUGGGAAACCUUUCAACUACAGAUCAAGUUAAGAGAUCUCUUACAUUUCAAGAAUUGAGAUUUAGACCCCUCGAAUUGUCUAUUAAUUUACUAAAACCCCGUCCAUUUGAUUCAAUCAAUUCAGCAUCUAAGAGAUAACAAUAAAUGUAUCACCUACAAUCACAUGAUCUUCGAGAUAACAUGUUAGCUCGUGCAUGAACAACAGAACAGUUUUGAGACUACUUCAUAUCAACUCAUAAAUUCGGGAUUUCAGCACUCCUUAAUCUAUUUUUAUUUUUAUUUUAAUCAAAUUCACAAGAUACAAAUCCAACUCUACAUAUUGAAAUUCAAAUCCCGUAUCCAUGCCAAAUUACUGGAUGAGAUUAACAAUUAGAUUCCAAAUUACACUAACAAGUCAUGAACAACUUAUAAUACUCUUAAAUUACCGAUGAUGACAGCACUAAUAUAUAAAAACGAGAGACAAAUCGCUUACAAUAACAAAGUGAAGCAAAGUAACGGAUUCGCUGAUCAAUCAGACCAGCGUCAAUGGAAGCCAGGAAGGUGAAAAAUCCGGUUGGUAGUUAACUCUAAAAUCGCUCUGGGGCUGCCGCGGCAAUCGCGCGCACAACCACUGGUUUUGAUUUUGAAGCCGGGAACAUGAAAAUAAUUUGGUGCGGG